GUGAGGAAUAUUGCGCAAUGGAGGCAACUCUGACGCAGCCAUGCCGCGUGCAGGAAGAAGGCGCUACGCGUUGUAAACUGCUUUUAACCAGGAAGAAACCCCAGGACGUGUCCUGGGUUGACGGUACCGGAGGAAUAAGCACCGGCUAACUUCGUGCCAGCAGCCGCGGUAAUACGAAGGGUGCAAGCGUUAUCCGGAUUCAUUGGGUUUAAAGGGUGCGUAGGCGGAGCGUUAAGUCAGUGGUGAAAUCCUGCAGCGUAACUGUAGACUUGCCAUUGAUACUGGCGCUCUUGAGUGCGCUUGAAGUGGGCGGAAUGUGCCGUGUAGCGGUGAAAUGCUUAGAUAUGGCACAGAACACCAAUUGCGAAGGCAGCUCACUAAGGCGAUACUGACGCUGAGGCACGAAAGCGUGGGGAUCGAACAGGAUUAGAAACCCUUGUAGUCC
This 445-nucleotide ribosomal RNA is filed under the name uncultured bacterium. RNAcentral describes it as "partial 16S ribosomal RNA". It matches the Rfam family "Bacterial small subunit ribosomal RNA", at positions 354 to 796 of the family's 1533-position model. The record is from RNAcentral.